UUAACCCAAAAACCUAAAUCUCUCACCCCGCACGUCUCUCUUCUUUCCCUUUGUCUAUCGCGCACGCCCGCAGCUAGCUGCCAGCUGCGCACCCGCCGCCACCCCGCGCCCGCCCCACCGCGCGUCGGCUCGCGCGCCGCCACCCAGUGCGGCCCCGCCGCCCCACCGUUAAGGCAGGUUAUGCGGCCGACAAGGGGGCGGCGUCCGGGAACCCAUAGAGUCACGUCGUGCUGGGGAGGCAUAGGAUUCGGAUCCGGCCGUGGCCGCACCCGGACCUCGUCGAGGUGAUGCGGGCGCACCGGAUCAUGGAGUGCGUGCAGGAGGAACAGCGCCGCUGGUACGGUGUCAAGGAGCCGAGGCAGGUGCUCGCUGUCACCCCGACCUACUCACGCGCGUUCCAGGCGCUCCACCUCAUCGGCCUCCUCCACUCACUCCGUCGAAAUCCUUGCGCAUACUGGCACGGUAGACCAACUACGGCUCAGCGAGGAGGACAAGCAGAAUAUGCCUCUUCCAGUCCAUGGCCCUGCUUGCAACUCCUCAGGGCAUCUGAUUGGAUGGCACACGUUCAACUCAUUGCCCUUCUCUGGGAAGACGGCCACAGUUGUUGGUGAAGCAACCCCUGUUCUGCCUAGGGAUUUGGAGUGGGCUGGUUUUGUGUUGAACUCGAGGAUGCUGUGGAAGGAGGCUGACAGCAAGCCUGACUGGGUGAAGGAUCUUGAUGCUGUGGGUGAGAACUUUGAGGAGCGCUGGUUAAAGGCAUCAAAGCGCAGUGCCGCUAAGAAACUGUCAAAAUUGUCGAGGUCGCAUAAUGAGUCGUUGUUGUGGAUCAAGAAGAUACCUGAUAUUAUUGCUAUUGACGACGAGAUCUAUUCAAAUGAUGAUGAUCCAGAGAGAUGGGACAUGCAGAUUUUCCGAUCAAUUGAUUCGAAUUCUGUCAAGGGUUUUCCAAAAGAUCCACGGGAGGCCACUAGUAAGAAUCUUGUUUUUGGGAAAAAUGUACUGAUUGAUAUGAGCGUGCAUACAGCAUAUGUGAAUGUCAUCCGAGGUGCUCAACAUUUCAUCUAUAUUGAGAACCAGUACUUCCUUGGCUCUUCAUUUAACUGGGAUUCACAUAGAGAUGUUGGAAUGUGAAGUACAGUACAUUGCAAGUGCUAAUAAUCUGAUACCCAUUGAGAUAGCACUGAAAAUUGCAAACAAGAUUUAUUCGAAUGAGAGAUUUUCAGCUUAUAUAGUAGUUCCAAUGUGGCCUGAGGGCAAUCCUACUGGAACUCUUACGCAAAGGAUUCUUUAUUGGCAGAAAAUGACAAUGCAAAUGAUGUAUGAGAUAAUCUAUAAGGCCUUGAAAGAAGUAGGACUAGAUGGUACAUAUGAGCCACAGGAUUACCUGAAUUUCUUCUGCCUUGGUAACCGUGAAGCUGAGGACACUACUUGCACAUCUAGUGGACCAUUCUCAGCCAGUAACCCACAGGACCAAGCUCGGAAGAAUAGGAGAUUCAUGGUGUAUGUGCACUCGAAAGGCAUGAUUGUGGAUGAUGAAUAUGUGAUAAUUGGAUCCGCUAACAUCAACCAGAGAUCCAUGGAAGGAACUAGAGAUACAGAGAUUGCAAUGGCUGCAUACCAACCCCAGCAUACAUGGGCAAAUAUGCUUUCUGCUCCUCGUGGACAGAUUUUCGGGUACAGGAAAAUACAGUGUACGUGUUGAAACUGUUAUCCUGCCCCAGGUUGGGAUGGACGGCGGUACAUACGUGUUGGUAGAACUGUGAGAAGAAAAGAUGGGAAAAUUUGCUUUCUUGGCUGCGAUGGUUAUCUGCUCAAACAAGAUAUGCAAAUUGCAAAACUCUUAAAGGAUAGUAUUAGUUCUAUUUGUUCAUACAGUUCUACAGCUAGUUGUUUCUUGCUUUGUUCAUGGAUUGCAAUACUGGAUAAGAUCAUGAUGGAUGUCGUGUGUGUUUUAAUCACCAUUUCUAAAAUUUAUUCUAUUGGUAAGACGAUUCUAAGAUAUAGGUCGGAGUUGGAUUCCUUGCAUAUACAUAAACAGAUAAAGAAGCAACCGGUUUAUAACAAAAAUAUGUCUUCUGUUUUGCCUGUUGCCCAAUUCUCUUUUAGUGUAGCCUACUUACAAUAAUUAAAAGAAGAGUUGGUGUCUGUUUGAGUAGACAGCUAAGUGCAUAUAUAAGUACGUGCAUGAUUUUGAUUACUAAUUGUGAUUUUGAUGAUCUUUCUUUUGAAGACGGUCUAACAUAUAAGCGCAUGAUUUAGAUGAACGGAAUUACUAUUGUGCCAUUUCUGAAGAAUCUUACUAUUUUCUCUUGCCUUCUUAGAACAACAUGGGAAGAAGUGAUGAUGACAGUCCAUCGCCGCCAAGAGGUCACAUGAGAAGAACUCGCAGCCCAAGUCCUUGUGGUAGUUAUGGAGGCCAUGGCAAGCGCCCCACAACUAAUCUUAUGGUGACGAAUCUUGGUCCAGAUUGUAGGAUUCCGACUCUCAUCAAGUGACUCCUCCCCUCACGAUGACUUUGCGGACAGAUGUCUCAAUUAUAGUGGUGGAGCUACGAACAACAAUCCGAUGUCCUGAUCGAGAGCGAUGGAGCUAAUGUUUGAACUUGUGUGUUUGAACUUGUGAACUAAAAAUGUGAACUAUGGAUGUGAACUUAUGUGAAUUUGUGAACUUAUGUAUUUGAACUUAUGUGAAUUUGUGAACUUAUGUAUUUGGACUUGUGUGAAUUUGUGAUAUGAAUAUAUAUCCAUGUGUUUGAAAUCUGUAUUGUAUGUGAUAUUCUGUGUUGCAUG
Molecule: RNA transcript, 2789 nt
Organism: Zea mays
Lineage: Eukaryota; Viridiplantae; Streptophyta; Magnoliopsida; Poales; Poaceae
Gene name: phospholipase D beta 1
Exons: 8
Source: RefSeq, a predicted model, not a curated record